This 253-nucleotide ribosomal RNA is filed under the name uncultured bacterium. RNAcentral's name for it is "partial 16S ribosomal RNA". It matches the Rfam family "Bacterial small subunit ribosomal RNA", at positions 524 to 776 of the family's 1533-position model. The record is from RNAcentral.
UACGUAGGGUGCAAGCGUUACUCGGAAUUACUGGGCGUAAAGCGUGCGCAGGCGGCUAUGCAAGACAGAUGUGAAAUCCCCGGGCUCAACCUGGGAACUGCAUUUGUGACUGCAUGGCUAGAGUACGGUAGAGGGGGAUGGAAUUCCGCGUGUAGCAGUGAAAUGCGUAGAUAUGCGGAGGAACACCGAUGGCGAAGGCAGCCUCCUGGGCCAGCACUGACGCUCAUGCACGAAAGCGUGGGGAGCAAACAGG